GGUCUGGUGGUGUAGUUGGUUAUCACGUCAGUCUAACAGGUCGAGAGAUUUGCGUCUCACGCCUGGUUCACUGAAGGUCUCCGGUUCAAGUCCGGGCUAGAUCA
RNAcentral lists this transfer RNA (104 nucleotides) under Colletotrichum chlorophyti. It matches the Rfam family "tRNA". Rfam says of the family: Transfer RNA (tRNA) molecules are approximately 80 nucleotides in length. Lineage: Eukaryota; Fungi; Ascomycota; Sordariomycetes; Glomerellales; Glomerellaceae. The record is from Rfam by way of RNAcentral.